UGGCUAUUAGUGGGGGACAACAUUUCGAAAGGGAUGCUAAUACCGCAUACGUCCUACGGGAGAAAGCAGGGGAUCUUCGGACCUUGCGCUAAUAGAUGAGCCUAAGUCGGAUUAGCUAGUUGGUGGGGUAAAGGCCUACCAAGGCGACGAUCUGUAGCGGGUCUGAAAAGAUGAUUCGGCCACACUGGGACUGAGACACGGCCCAGACUCCUACGGGAGGCAGCAGUGGGGAAUAUUGGACAAUGGGGGGAACCCUGAUCCAGCCAUGCCGCGUGUGUGAAGAAGGCCUUAUGGUUGUAAAGCACUUUAAGCGAGGAGGAGGGUACUGGUAUUAAUACUACCAGGUACUGGACGUUACUCGCAGAAUAAGCACCGGCUAACUCUGUGCCAGCAGCCGCGGUAAUACAGAGGGUGCGAGCGUUAAUCGGAUUUACUGGGCGUAAAGCGUGCGUAGGCGGCUAAUUGAGUCGGAUGUGAAAUCCCCGAGCUUAACUUGGGAAUUGCAUUCGAUACUGGUUAGCUUAGAAUUUUGGGAAGAGGAUGGUAGAAUUCCAGGUGUAGCGGUGAAAUGCGUAGAGAUCUGGAGGAAUACCGAUGGCGAAGGCAGCCAUCUGGCCUAACACUGACGCUGAGGUACGAAAGCAUGGGGAGCAAACAGGAUUAGAUACCUGGUAGUCCAUGCCGUAAACGAUGUCUA
This 697-nucleotide ribosomal RNA is filed under the name Acinetobacter sp. DH70-2. Its description in RNAcentral is "bacterial SSU rRNA". It matches the Rfam family "Bacterial small subunit ribosomal RNA", at positions 127 to 815 of the family's 1533-position model. Lineage: Bacteria; Pseudomonadati; Pseudomonadota; Gammaproteobacteria; Moraxellales; Moraxellaceae. The record is from RNAcentral.